Molecule: long non-coding RNA, 759 nt
Organism: Hipposideros armiger (great roundleaf bat)
Lineage: Eukaryota; Metazoa; Chordata; Mammalia; Chiroptera; Hipposideridae
Exons: 3
Source: RefSeq, a predicted model, not a curated record
CGCUGCCGGGGCGCUCCAGGUUCCUGAGCCGCCGGCUCCGCGAGCUCGCCAGUCGGCUGCCGGAUCCCGGGCCACAGCCACCUCCCAGCUCCCCACCCAGAGCCGUGGACUCGCGGCGUCCGCAGGGGUCCGUGUCUAAAGCUCGGUCCCCAGGUGAGAAGGUGGGAGCGCAGCACAUCCAUAGCACUUCUCCAUCUGCCCUGCCUACCAUCCGUUCUUCACUCCUCACACACUCCAGCCCAAUGUGCCCCAUCCCCUGAGUGAAAACCACACCAAAAUGUCAGAAGAAGCUUGGAAACAAAGAUACAUCCAUAGCGGCUUUGGCACACAAGGACGCUUCAGCGUAUGGCGUCAGAAGCUGAGGAACAGAAAAAGGGAGUAGACUCUUGGAUACACGUGUGUCACAUUUAAAGAAGGAACCAAACCGUCAUUGGAACUGAACACAGUAUGGUGACAUGAAAUUAAAGCUAGCAAAAAUUGAAGCAGGUGGCCUCUGAAGGAGAUAGCUUUCCCAAAAAGACAAGACCAGGCCUGUACAACUCUUUUACUUACUGUUGCUUCUUACUUUAUUUCUCUCUCUUUUGGAAGGAAAAUACCCUUGUUUGCAUUUCUCAAUCUAAUAUGAAAGGGGAAACUUUUCCAGUUAUUGGAGCUGACAUCAAGAACUUUGAUCUAUCCAAAAUAAUGACCUUUAUUUCACUACCUACAAAUUUGCGCUCUUGGUUUAGAAUCACCAUUUAGAAUGUUUGUUGUGUUGUU